This 415-nucleotide ribosomal RNA is filed under the name uncultured prokaryote. RNAcentral's name for it is "bacterial SSU rRNA". It matches the Rfam family "Bacterial small subunit ribosomal RNA", at positions 505 to 918 of the family's 1533-position model. The record is from RNAcentral.
AUGCCAGCAGCCGCGGUAAUACGUAGGGGCCAAGCGUUAUCCGGAAUUAUUGGGCGUAAAGGGUCCGCAGGUGGCAGUUCAAGUCUGCAGUCAAAGGUCGGGGCUCAACCCCGGAAAGGCUGUGGAAACUGAACAGCUAGAGUACGGUAGGGGCAGAGGGAAUUCCCAGUGUAGCGGUGAAAUGCGUAGAGAUUGGGAAGAACACCGGUGGCGAAAGCGCUCUGCUAGGCCGAAACUGACACUGAGGGACGAAAGCUAGGGGAGCGAAAGGGAGUAGAGACCCCUGUAGUCCUAGCUGUAAACGAUGGAGACUAGGUGUGGCCUGUAUCGACCCGGGCCGUGCCGGAGCUAACGCGUUAAGUCUCCCGCCUGGGGAGUACGCACGCAAGUGUGAAACUCAAAUGAAUUGACGGGG